AGCAGGGCCUUCCCAAGUGACCCACUGCUACCGAGCCCUAAGGGACCGGUGACUUGCACGUGGGUCCUUUUGCCCAGAGCCACUCCCGCUAAUAGAAUGAGACUGGACUUGGAACAGCAGAGCAGAAACGUUAUUCAUUGAUCAACAAACAGAGGCCGAGUUCAUGCCGUAAAACUCCUUCUCCCGGAAGGGAAGAUGCAAGCCUGGCUAGAAGGAUAAGCUGCAGAAACAAUGAAGCAGGAGACCCCUACUAUCAUCUUCUGAAGGUACUGACUGGUUUGCUUGCUGGUCUGCUUUCUGGCUGUCCCACUAGGAUAUGAGCUCUCGGGAGCGGCACUGUCGUGAUUCUGAGGCGGAGGUUACCAAACAGGCCUUUACCAGGGAGCCCUUGGCGUCAACGCUGCGGAAGGGGAGGAGAC
RNAcentral lists this long non-coding RNA (419 nucleotides) under Equus caballus (horse). Its description in RNAcentral is "lncRNA (ENSECAG00000049928.1)". The record is from RNAcentral. Lineage: Eukaryota; Metazoa; Chordata; Mammalia; Perissodactyla; Equidae.